AGCGGAAAAAGGGACUUGAACCCUCACC
Molecule: transfer RNA, 28 nt
Filed under: Physcomitrium serratum
Lineage: Eukaryota; Viridiplantae; Streptophyta; Bryopsida; Funariales; Funariaceae
Description: Aphanorrhegma serratum partial tRNA-Gly
Source: RNAcentral